CCAAUAGCGUAUAUUAAAGUUGUUGCAGUUAAAAAGCUCGUAGUUGAAUUUCGGGAUCAAAUUGUCGGUCGUGCCUCGGUACGUACUGGUAUUAUUGGUUCCUCCCUUCUGACGAACCACGAUGUCAUUAAUUUGGUGUCAUGGGAAAUCAGGACUGUUACUUUGAAAAAAUUGGAGUGUUUAAAGCCGGCUCGCGCUUGAAUACAUUAGCAUGGAAUAAUGAAAUAGGACGUUUGAUUCUAUUUUGUUGGUUUCUAGGAUCGACGUAAUGAUUAAUAGGGAUAGUUGGGGGCAUUAGUAUUCAAUUGUCAGAGGUGAAAUUCUUGGAUUUAUUGAAGACUAACUACUGCGAAAGCAUUUGCCAAGGAUGUUUUCAUUAAUCAAGAACGAAAGUUGGGGGAUCGAAGACGAUCAGAUACCGUCGUAGUCUUAACCAUAAACUAUGCCGACUAGGGAUCGGAUGAUGUUAAUUUUUUAAUGACUCAUUCGGCGCCUUACG
Molecule: ribosomal RNA, 499 nt
Filed under: uncultured Glomeromycotina
Lineage: Eukaryota; Fungi; Glomeromycota
Description: partial small subunit ribosomal RNA
Rfam family: Eukaryotic small subunit ribosomal RNA
Source: RNAcentral